AUACGUAGGGGGCGAGCGUUGUCCGGAAUGAUUGGGCGUAAAGGGCGCGUAGGCGGCCCGGUAAGUCUGGAGUGAAAGUCCUGUUUUUAAGAUGGGAAUUGCUUUGGAUACUGUCGGGCUUGAGUGCAGGAGAGGUAAGUGGAAUUCCCAGUGUAGCGGUGAAAUGCGUAGAGAUUGGGAGGAACACCAGUGGCGAAGGCGACUUACUGGACUGUAACUGACGCUGAGGCGCGAAAGUGUGGGGAGCAAACAGGAUUAGAUACCCUGGUAGUCCACACUGUAAACGAUGAAUGCUAGGUGUAGGGGGUAUCGACCCCUUCUGUGCCGCAGUCAACACAAUAAGCAUUCCGCCUGGGGAGUACGGCCGCAAG
This 371-nucleotide ribosomal RNA is filed under the name uncultured bacterium. RNAcentral's name for it is "partial 16S ribosomal RNA". It matches the Rfam family "Bacterial small subunit ribosomal RNA", at positions 523 to 892 of the family's 1533-position model. The record is from RNAcentral.